RNAcentral lists this transfer RNA (83 nucleotides) under Blumeria graminis f. sp. tritici. It matches the Rfam family "tRNA". From Rfam's summary of the family: Transfer RNA (tRNA) molecules are approximately 80 nucleotides in length. Their secondary structure includes four short double-helical elements and three loops (D, anti-codon, and T loops). Further hydrogen bonds mediate the characteristic L-shaped molecular structure. tRNAs have two regions of fundamental functional importance: the anti-codon, which is responsible for specific mRNA codon recognition, and the 3' end, to which the tRNAs corresponding amino acid is attached (by aminoacyl-tRNA synthetases). tRNAs cope with the degeneracy of the genetic code in two manners: having more than one tRNA (with a specific anti-codon) for a particular amino acid; and 'wobble' base-pairing, i.e. permitting non-standard base-pairing at the 3rd anti-codon position. The record is from Rfam by way of RNAcentral. RNAcentral also lists the same sequence under 1 other name. Lineage: Eukaryota; Fungi; Ascomycota; Leotiomycetes; Helotiales; Erysiphaceae.
GUCGCAUUGGCGCAAUGGUAGCGCGCAAGACUUCUACCUGGGUUGAAAUCUUGAGGCUGUGGGUUCGAGCCCCACAUGCGAUG